UACGUAGGUGGCAAGCGUUGUCCGGAAUUAUUGGGCGUAAAGCGCGCGCAGGCGGCUAUGUAAGUCUGGUGUUAAAGCCUGGGGCUUAACCCCGGUACGCACCCGAAACUGCGUAGCUUGAGUGCAGGAGAGGAAAGCGGUAUUCCACGUGUAGCGGUGAAAUGCGUAGAGAUGUGGAGGAACACCAGUGGCGAAGGCGGCUUUCUGGCCUGUAACUGACGCUGAGGCGCGAAAGCGUGGGGAGCAAACAGG
This 252-nucleotide ribosomal RNA is filed under the name uncultured bacterium. RNAcentral's name for it is "partial 16S ribosomal RNA". It matches the Rfam family "Bacterial small subunit ribosomal RNA", at positions 524 to 776 of the family's 1533-position model. The record is from RNAcentral.